ACGAGGUGUAGCAAUACAUCUAGUGGCGGACGGGUGAGGAACACGUAGGAAUUUGCCUUAGAGCGGGGGAUAGCCCAGGGAAACUUGGAGUAAUACCGCAUGAUGUCGAAAGACCAAAGCAGGGGACCGCAAGGCCUUGCACUCUGAGAGAAGCCUACGUCUGAUUAGCUAGUUGGUGGGGUAAUGGCCCACCAAGGCGACGAUCAGUAACUGGUCUGAGAGGACGAUCAGUCACACUGGAACUGAGACACGGUCCAGACUCCUACGGGAGGCAGCAGUGGGGAAUAUUGGACAAUGGGCGCAAGCCUGAUCCAGCAAUGCCGCGUGUGUGAAGAAGGCCUUCGGGUUGUAAAGCACUUUAAGCAGGGAAGAAAAAACUCGAGCUAACAUCUUGAGUCUUGACGGUACCUGAAGAAUAAGCACCGGCUAACUCUGUGCCAGCAGCCGCGGUAAUACAGAGGGUGCAAGCGUUAAUCGGAUUUACUGGGCGUAAAGGGUGUGUAGGUGGUUUGACAAGUCGGUUGUGAAAUCCCCGGGCUUAACCUGGGAACUGCUUCCGAGACUGUUUGACUAGAGUACGGUAGAGGGCGGUGGAAUUUCCGGUGUAGCGGUGAAAUGCGUAGAUAUCGGAAGGAACACCAAUGGCGAAGGCAGCCGCCUGGGCCUGUACUGACACUGAAACACGAAAGCGUGGGGAUCAAACAGGAUUAGAUACCCUGGUAGUCCACGCCGUAAACGAUGGGUACUUGACGUCGGCAUGCUCUGCGUGUCGGUGUCGUAGCUAACGCGAUAAGUACCCCGCCU
Molecule: ribosomal RNA, 804 nt
Filed under: uncultured bacterium
Lineage: Bacteria
Description: bacterial SSU rRNA
Rfam family: Bacterial small subunit ribosomal RNA
Source: RNAcentral